RNAcentral lists this ribosomal RNA (466 nucleotides) under uncultured bacterium. Its description in RNAcentral is "partial 16S ribosomal RNA". It matches the Rfam family "Bacterial small subunit ribosomal RNA", at positions 28 to 507 of the family's 1533-position model. The record is from RNAcentral.
GGUGAACGCUGGCGGCGUGCUUAACACAUGCAAGUCGAACGAUGAAGCCCAGCUUGCUGGGUGGAUUAGUGGCGAACGGGUGAGUAACACGUGAGUAACCUGCCCUUAACUCUGGGAUAAGCCUGGGAAACUGGGUCUAAUACCGGAUAGGAGCGUCCACCGCAUGGUGGGUGUUGGAAAGAUUUAUCGGUUUUGGAUGGACUCGCGGCCUAUCAGCUUGUUGGUGAGGUAAUGGCUCACCAAGGCGACGACGGGUAGCCGGCCUGAGAGGGUGACCGGCCACACUGGGACUGAGACACGGCCCAGACUCCUACGGGAGGCAGCGGUGGGGAAUAUUGCACAAUGGGCGCAAGCCUGAUGCAGCGACGCCGCGUGAGGGAUGACGGCCUUCGGGUUGUAAACCUCUUUCAGUAGGGAAGAAGCGAAAGUGACGGUACCUGCAGAAGAAGCACCGGCUAACUACGUG